UUUUCCCUCGCCAGGGUGAGCCCGACACUCGUGCACCAAUCGUUGGCGAUCCUUAGCAUCGUGUUGACCUUGACGGAGGCCUCUUCGUUCCUCCCGACGGAACAUGUGAUGGCCAGAUCAUCCGCGAAGGCGGUUGCUCUGACCAUUGGCAUGUUGUCGAAUCUCUCGAGCAACCGGUCGUAUACCAAGUUCCACAGGAAUGGUCCGAGGAUGGAUCCCUGCGGAACUCCCGCCGCCACCUCGUGCUCCACCGUGCCGUGCUGGUUGCUCACGAUGAUCCUCCUUCCGGAUAGAUGUUGGCAAACUUCAUCACCUGCGUGAUGGCAUCUACCGUACUCCUCUUCUUUCUGAAGCCAUAUUGCCUCCGAUGGAACGGGUCCAUUCCGAUGCAUCUCUCGAUGAUCUUCUUAAAGCAUUUUUCCCAGAUCUUGCUCGUG
This 437-nucleotide unclassified non-coding RNA is filed under the name Bombus terrestris (buff-tailed bumblebee). RNAcentral describes it as "misc RNA ENSBTSG00005026712.1". The record is from RNAcentral. Lineage: Eukaryota; Metazoa; Arthropoda; Insecta; Hymenoptera; Apidae.